UACGUAGGCUGCAAGCGUUGUUCGGAGUUACUGGGCGUAAAGGGUGCGUAGGCGGUUCUGUAAGUAUGGUGUGAAAUCUCCCGGCUUAACUGGGAGGGUGCGCUAUAGACUGUGGGGCUAGAGUGUGGGAGAGGAAAGUGGAAUUCCUGGUGUAGCGGUGAAAUGCGUAGAUAUCAGGAGGAACACCGGUGGUGUAAACGGCUUUCUGGACCAUAACUGACGCUGAGGCACGAAAGCGUGGGUAGCAAACAGG
This 253-nucleotide ribosomal RNA is filed under the name uncultured bacterium. Its description in RNAcentral is "partial 16S ribosomal RNA". It matches the Rfam family "Bacterial small subunit ribosomal RNA", at positions 524 to 776 of the family's 1533-position model. The record is from RNAcentral.